This is a long non-coding RNA of Acanthochromis polyacanthus (spiny chromis), 3335 nucleotides long. RefSeq lists it as uncharacterized. The transcript has 3 exons. The record is from RefSeq and is a predicted model, not a curated record. NCBI's taxonomy places the organism in Eukaryota, Metazoa, Chordata, Actinopteri, Pomacentridae.
UGGCCUACGGAUACGGCACUUUCCCUUAACAUAAAUAUUAAUGAGCCGUACAUAAAUAUUAAUGAGCCGGCUGAUGAACACGCUUCGUGAUUGGCUGGUAAUCCGACGUACAUAAAUAUUAAUGAGCCGGCGACGCUGAUGAAGGCGCUUCCGUGAUUCGAGGUGAAUCUGCGGAAUGAAUGGCGGAACUAACAGCCAGCAAACUACAAGUAUUUUUUUUACCUUCAAAAGUAGCGACAGACUAUUACAUAUUAACAACCUAAGCAAAACCCUGACGUAUUUUCUGCGUCUGUCAACACAGACCCUGCACGUCAGUCACUUUAAUGUUAGCGGACUCUGUUGAAUGGCUAAGUUACAUAACCACAAACAAAUCUCACAAUAUCACAGUAAAUCGAGUUUGUGGGUUUUUUAAAUUCAUGCCGAAUUAAAGAGCUGCUUCUCACCAUUCACGAGUGUUUGUUUCAUAUUCGACAUCCUUAACUUUAUCUUGUAAAUUAGCGUCCGAAAUUAAAUGGGAACAUUUGCAAUGGAGUUCGUCAGCCGCUUCCACCACUGAACGCGGUAAACUAAUUAAUAGGAACUGGACUUCAAACAAUUUAGACACGGCGUCUAAAAGCGUAAAAACUACAUUGUCUACGUAAAGUGUGAGAGGAGACGGUGUAUUUUUAGUUAAAUUAUACAAUGUUCCCCGUCAAAGUCAUUCAUAUAAACUGCCUGUAAUGUGCAGCAAUAACCAUCGCCAGCUCUUCAGUGACCUCAACACGUCCGUACCUCUAGUACAGAUGCUACGGGUACGGGUCCGUACCUCUCGCAUCAACCGAUGGAGAAUUAGGACGGUAUAUCACAAGAUAUGGGGACCGGCUUGCACUCAAGGCAUUUUGUCGUCAGAGAGCUGUAACAAAUGAAUACCGAGCGGGAACAGAGACAGUGAAGUCUGCCCUCUUGCAGAACAUAAGGCACAGGUUGGAGGAACGGGGAAACUCUGCUACCACGAACAGAGAACGCAGUGCUGGCAAUACAUUCGCAGUCAAAGUCACCCGGUGGGUUGAGAUGGGAUGGCUCAACUUUGAGAGAGGCACUUAUCACCAAAUCAGAACGAGAAAUGGAGGCGGAACACGGCAUCUGUCUGUCCAAAAAUCUGUAACUAUGGGCGAGCUGCUUCAGACAGGCAAAGAUCUGUUUUUUCCUAAUGGACAAUCAUCCAAAGGUCCGGUGGAAGACUUCGAAUUUGAUAUUCGUGAUUACAGCCAUAAUGUUGUGUCACCUGAAGUAACAGUGGCCCAGCUAUAUGAACAGAGUAAAUUAAAAAUGCUGCGGGUCUACACAUGCUCCAAGGCAAAGGGUUUAGUGCUUAUUACUGAUGAGUCAUCUAACUCAGAACCCAGAAAUGAGAGGCCAAAAAAGGUAAUUUUUUGAUUCCCUUUUAAUUUUUAUUGUGACAGAUUUCUGAACAGUUAAACAACCUGUCAAUCAUAGCCAUCAUUUGCUGAUCUGUGCACGUCUUUGCAGAGACGAUCCCCAAAGAGUGGGCCUACAAGAAGACAGCCAGAACCCAGUGGGUCAGUGCAGAGAGCUGAACCAAAGGUCGAUUUGGGACAAACUUCAGAUCUGUUUAGUGAGGAAAUUCUGACGUUGAGUGAUGGGUCAGAUUCCCCUCUUUGCCCCUUCGAAAAUUUUGAAGACUCUGAAAUUAACUUUGGACCCACUGGUGGUGAUGACGAUGGCGACACCACCCUUCCCUGGAAUCCUCCUAAUGACCUGGACCCUCAGCAGCACUCAACAUUGAAUGAUGGGCCUGCAUCUUCAAGCAGUCUUCCAGCAGCACCAGACCCACCUGAAAAAGAGCCCCUCUUUGUGAAGUUGAGGCGGAUAAAUAUAGUUGAGGAUGUUCUCAAUGUCUUUAUGGAACCAAAGGUACUGAAUGCUCAAUUAAAAAUGGAAUUCACAAAUGAGAUGGCUGUGGACAGUGAUGGGGUAUCAAGAGAGGCAUAUUCCGCAUUCUGGGAAGAAUUUUUGGAACAGUGUGAGGGGGAAGAUGAAAGAGUACCCAGACUGCAACCAGACUAUUCAGAGAAGAAAUGGGAAGCUCUUGGAAGAGUGUGGAUACCUUGACCACAAAAUCAUACCAGUCAGGCUAUCACCCGCUUUUGUUCUUGCCUGUUGCCAAGGACUUACUUCAGUGGAUGAAGAUCUGUUGAUGAUGUCAUUUGCAAGAUUUCUUUCAGAGAGUGAGCGUGCAACACUUGAAAAAGCAAUGCAGGGCAACAUAGAUGAAGCUGUUGAGGAGGACUUGCUUGAGAUUUUUUCAAGAAUGGGCUCACACAUCCUGCCCUCUCAAGACAACCUGCGGGCAGCCAUUUUGAAAAUGGCCCACAAAGCUCUUCUUCAAGAGCCAAAGUUCAUAAUUGACUGUUUCCACAACAUUAUUCACAGUUCCCUGCCAAUGCACAUAACAAAAGACAGCAUAAUGGUGCUUUAUGAAUCCAAGAAGCCAACUAACAAAAAAGUGGUCAAGAUGAUAAAGUCAUCAUCUGACAGCCUAAAUCCACAAGAGCAGGAAGCACUUAACCACCUGAUAUGGUACGUGAGAAACACUGACCAAAGAAAGCUGGAGAUGUUCUUGCGCUUCUGCACAGGAUCGACUGUACUGUGCAAAGAUACGAUUGAAAUGACCUUCAAUACACUGUCUGGAUUGAGCCGGAGACCUGUAGCACACACAUGUGGAGCAGUGCUUGAGUUACCGUGCACCUACAGCUCAUACCCUGAUUUUCGUAAAGAGCUUGACAGUGUCCUGUCAGGUGACUGCUUCACGAUGGAUAUUGUGUAGUCAAUGAAGUGAAUGUUUUUACAAGUGUGUCUUAUUAUUGUGAAAACGAUUAAUGGUAUAACCGUGAUGUAGUUAGAUUUGGGACACACACACACACCAGUAUUGUAUCCUUUGCAAGUUCAUGUUUAUGGGUGAGGUUCUUUCAGGAUGGAGUUAUAAAGGUGCAAGAACAAGCAGAGUAAGUACGAAGAGUUUGACAGUGUCCUGUCUGGUGUGACUGAUUUAUUGAUAUUGUAUAGUGAAUGUUUCUAUACCAUUUCUACAGAUUUACAUUUAAAACAUGUUAUUUUCCAUUCAUAUGUAACAAGCAAGAAAACAUAGUAGCCAUUAACAAAACAGAAACAAACAUUCUUUUUUUUUCUUUUUUUUUACUUCUGUGGCUUUACUUUAAGAGGUUGAAAACUUUACUUAAGUCCAAAUGACAAUUUAAGUUCAAUCAUUUUGAUAAGUCAGAAAUGUGUGCAGGCACCAUUGAUAUUAACUAUUUGGUAGGCUACAGCAAAUGCAG